RNAcentral lists this ribosomal RNA (460 nucleotides) under uncultured bacterium. RNAcentral's name for it is "partial 16S ribosomal RNA". It matches the Rfam family "Bacterial small subunit ribosomal RNA", at positions 338 to 795 of the family's 1533-position model. The record is from RNAcentral.
CCUACGGGAGGCAGCAGUGAGGAAUAUUGGUCAAUGGGCGCGAGCCUGAACCAGCCAAGUAGCGUGAAGGAUGACUGCCCUACGGGUUGUAAACUUCUUUUAUAAAGGAAUAAAGUGAGGCACGCGUGCCUUUUUGUAUGUACUUUAAGAAUAAGGAUCGGCUAACUCCGUGCCAGCAGCCGCGGUAAUACGGAGGAUCCGAGCGUUAUCCGGCUUUAUUGGGUUUAAAGGGAGCGUAGAGGGGUUGUUAAGUCAGGUGUGAAAGUUUGGGGCUCAACCGUCAAAUUGCAGUUGAUACUGGCAGUCUUGAGUACAGUUGAGGUAGGCGGAAUGCGUGGUGUAGCGGUGAAAUGCUUAGAUAUCACGAAGAACUCCGAUUGCGAAGGCAGCUUACUAGCCUGCCACUGACAUUGAUGCUCGAAAGUGUGGGUAUCGAACAGGAUUAGAUACCCGUGUAGUC